GACGAACGCUGGCGGCGUGCUUAACACAUGCAAGUCGAACGAAAAGAGGGAAAGAGCUUGCUCUUUCCGGAAUUGAGUGGCAAACGGGUGAGUAACACGUAAACAACCUGCCUUCAGGAUGGGGACAACAGACGGAAACGACUGCUAAUACCGAAUAAGUUCCAAGAGCCGCAUGGCCCAUGGAAGAAAAGGUGGCCUCUACCUGUAAGCUAUCGCCUGAAGAGGGGUUUGCGUCUGAUUAGCUGGUUGGAGGGGUAACGGCCCACCAAGGCGACGAUCAGUAGCCGGUCUGAGAGGAUGAACGGCCACACUGGAACUGAGACACGGUCCAGACUCCUACGGGAGGCAGCAGUGGGGAAUCUUCCGCAAUGGGCGAAAGCCUGACGGAGCAACGCCGCGUGAGUGAUGACGGCCUUCGGGUUGUAAAACUCUGUGAUCCGGGACGAAAAGGCAGAGUGCGAAGAACAAACUGCAUUGACGGUACCGGAA
RNAcentral lists this ribosomal RNA (489 nucleotides) under Dialister invisus. Its description in RNAcentral is "bacterial SSU rRNA". It matches the Rfam family "Bacterial small subunit ribosomal RNA", at positions 28 to 483 of the family's 1533-position model. RNAcentral also lists the same sequence under 1 other name. The record is from RNAcentral. Lineage: Bacteria; Bacillati; Bacillota; Negativicutes; Veillonellales; Veillonellaceae.